RNAcentral lists this ribosomal RNA (253 nucleotides) under uncultured bacterium. RNAcentral's name for it is "partial 16S ribosomal RNA". It matches the Rfam family "Bacterial small subunit ribosomal RNA", at positions 524 to 776 of the family's 1533-position model. The record is from RNAcentral.
UACGAAGGGGGCUAGCGUUGUUCGGAAUUACUGGGCGUAAAGCGCGCGCAGGCGGUCCUUCAAGUCAGAGGUGAAAGCCCAGAGCUCAACUCUGGAACGGCCUUUGAGACUAGAGGACUAGGGUACGGGAGAGGUGAGUGGAAUUCCGAGUGUAGAGGUGAAAUUCGUAGAUAUUCGGAAGAACACCAGUGGCGAAGGCGGCUCACUGGCCCGUUACCGACGCUCAGGCGCGACAGCGUGGGGAGCAAACAGG